Molecule: long non-coding RNA, 1197 nt
Filed under: Nicotiana benthamiana
Lineage: Eukaryota; Viridiplantae; Streptophyta; Magnoliopsida; Solanales; Solanaceae
Description: long non-coding RNA (NBEN_LNC041939)
Source: RNAcentral
AGGAUCCGAGGAAAAGUUGAACUCGCUGAGCAUGUGACCGAAAAACUUGUCAAUAUAGUCUGAAAAAGAUGGUACAUACAUACUGAUGUCAAACACAUAUGCGUCAGUCAGUAAAUGGAGAGACGCUUUAAAAGUAAGAAGGGCAAUGAAGAGACAGAAAAUAAAGAAAGUUCCUGGAUGUAGCUUAAUUGAACUUGAUGGUGUGGUUUCUGAAUUUAAGAAGGGUGACAAAGCGCAUCCAAGAAGUAAAGACAUAUAUGCGAUGGUUGAGCAACUGACACUUCAUUCAAUUGGUACAGAGGCUUUCUCAAACGGAAAUGAGCCCCUCAUAGUUUGAAUGGUGCAAUCAAAUUGGCAGCCUAAUCUGGAAGUACUUCUCAUACGGAAAUGAACCCCUCAUAGUUUGAAUGGUGCAAUGAAAUCGACAGCCUAAUCUGGAAAUGAAUUUGUCAAGUUGACCUCAGAUAUCAUUUCUCGACUUAAAUGGCAUGAAUUAUUUAGAAGCUCUGCCUUUUUUCCUGAUAAGGUUUAGAACAAUUUCUUUGUACAUUUUGCACCAAACAUUUUAGUAUAGUGAAGUAUAUUACACAUGGAUCGUGCACAACUCGUUACAAGAAACUUUAAGACAUCAUUCGUCUGAUUAUUGUUGGAAUGCACUUUUGCACACCAAACAUUACAUAUAUAAGUAAAAGAAAUAGUAUGUGAUAUGCAGCUUGCUUUAGAUUUUGAAGAUGAAUUAGUUGAGCAGCUGAUCCAAUCAAUUGCUACUUACCUUUCUAAGCAUUAUGGUUUGAUAUCCAAAAUUGAGGUACUAGAUCUUACAUGGCUGAGAAGUCGACGAACCGGGAUAACUCUAGGAACAAAAGUUCAAGUUUCAGUAGGAGGUAAUACUAAGGAAAUUCUUCCCAUUUACCUGAGCUUUGGAGGGCAACAUUACCGAGUAUUUUUGAUGUUGGAAACUAACAGGUAUGUGGUGGAUUAAUGGAGGUGUACGUAAACUGGAUUGGCUUGCCUUUUGCAAGCUAAGUGUGUGAAUAAACUUAGAGAAGGUGAUGAUAAUGUUUAUCAGCGCAAACUGUGGAGGUUAAUUUGGUUGCUGUGGCUAGGAGCCAAACAAAGAUUUCUACAUAUUUCCUGCACACAGAAUUCUUGUGAAACAAAGACAAGAAUAUUAAAUCCUAAUUAGUGUGUGACUAG